GGCAAAAUAAGUGAUAUAGAGNAAAACCCUAAAAACCGGUACUCAGUUCGGAUUGAAGGCUGAAAUUCGCCUUCAUGAAGCUGGAAUUGCUAGUAAUGGCAGGUCAGCAUACUGCCGUGAAUACGUUCCCGGGCCUUGUACACACCGCCCGUCACACCAUGAGAGUUGGGAAUACCCGAAGCCUGUAGUCUAACCGCAAGGAGGACGCAGUCGAAGGUGGGAUUGAUGACUGGGGUGAAGUCGUAACAAGGUACC
RNAcentral lists this ribosomal RNA (255 nucleotides) under uncultured bacterium. Its description in RNAcentral is "partial 16S ribosomal RNA". It matches the Rfam family "Bacterial small subunit ribosomal RNA", at positions 1248 to 1500 of the family's 1533-position model. The record is from RNAcentral.